RNAcentral lists this ribosomal RNA (506 nucleotides) under uncultured bacterium. RNAcentral describes it as "partial 16S ribosomal RNA". It matches the Rfam family "Bacterial small subunit ribosomal RNA", at positions 29 to 523 of the family's 1533-position model. The record is from RNAcentral.
AGUGAACGCUGGCGGUAGGCCUAACACAUGCAAGUCGAACGGCAGCACAAGAGAGCUUGCUCUCUGGGUGGCGAGUGGCGGACGGGUGAGGAAUACAUCGGAAUCUACUCUGUCGUGGGGGAUAACGUAGGGAAACUUACGCUAAUACCGCAUACGACCUACGGGUGAAAGCAGGGGACCUUCGGGCCUUGCGCGAUUAAACGAGCCGAUGUGGGAUUAGCUAGUUGGCGGGGUAAAGGCCCACCAAGGCGACGAUCCGUAGCUGGGCUGAGAGGAUGAUCAGCCACACUGGAACUGAGACACGGUCCAGACUCCUACGGGAGGCAGCAGUGGGGAAUAUUGGACAAUGGGCGCAAGCCUGAUCCAGCCAUACCGCGUGGGUGAAGAAGGCCUUCGGGUUGUAAAGCCCUUUUGUUGGGAAAGAAAUCCAGCUGGCUAAUACCCGGUUGGGAUGACGGUACCCAAAGAAUAAGCACCGGCUAACUUCGUGCCAGCAGCCGCAGUAA